Molecule: transfer RNA, 132 nt
Filed under: Anopheles dirus
Lineage: Eukaryota; Metazoa; Arthropoda; Insecta; Diptera; Culicidae
Description: tRNA tRNA-Tyr
Rfam family: tRNA
About the family: Transfer RNA (tRNA) molecules are approximately 80 nucleotides in length.
Source: RNAcentral
CCUUCGAUAGCUCAGUUGGUAGAGCGGUGGACUGUAGAAAGUUUCGGGGGAAACUUCAGGAAAAUUCGUCUGAAGAUCACUCUCCAUCCAAUAGAAAUCCAUAGGUCACUGGUUCAAAUCCGGUUCGAAGGA